GAUGAACGCCGGCGGCGUGCCUAAUACAUGCAAGUCGAGCGAACGGACGAGAAGCUUGCUUCUCUGAUGUUAGCGGCGGACGGGUGAGUAACACGUGGAUAACCUACCUAUAAGACUGGGAUAACUUCGGGAAACCGGAGCUAAUACCGGAUAAUAUUUUGAACCGCAUGGUUCAAAAGUGAAAGACGGUCUUGCUGUCACUUAUAGAUGGAUCCGCGCUGCAUUAGCUAGUUGGUAAGGUAACGGCUUACCAAGGCAACGAUGCAUAGCCGACCUGAGAGGGUGAUCGGCCACACUGGAACUGAGACACGGUCCAGACUCCUACGGGAGGCAGCAGUAGGGAAUCUUCCGCAAUGGGCGAAAGCCUGACGGAGCAACGCCGCGUGAGUGAUGAAGAUCUUCGGAUCGUAAAACUCUGUUAUUAGGGAAGAACAUAUGUGUAAGUAACUGUGCACAUCUUGACGGUACCUAAUCAGAAAGCCACGGCUAACUACGUG
RNAcentral lists this ribosomal RNA (497 nucleotides) under uncultured bacterium. Its description in RNAcentral is "partial 16S ribosomal RNA". It matches the Rfam family "Bacterial small subunit ribosomal RNA", at positions 28 to 507 of the family's 1533-position model. The record is from RNAcentral.